AUUCGAUUAUCGAUUUAAAACAUUACAAUGAACUAAUUUGAUCGUCAAUUUAAAAUAUUUACACUAUUAGAUAGCACAAAAUCUUAUGUUAUACUUAAUGAAAGUAUAGAAACUUGAAGUGUUAGUGAAUUUAUUGUUUUGAUGCGAUAUGCAUUCUACGAAACUAGUUUCAACGAUCCAACCAUCAAACUUGUUUUUAUAUGCUUCGAGAUCGCAUACGCCAAAAAUCGCAAAAAAAAAACAUUAAGAGAUUAUGUAACGGGACAAACCUUUUCGAUGGUUAUAAACGAAAAAUCACGAUUUAACGGUAAUUUUAACUCCGAUUUUGAUGAUUUUUUACAGCUACACACCUUGAUCCUAUAUGAAUACAAUGAACUAAUUCGAUCAUCAAUUUAAAAUAUUUAUACUAUUGGAUACCACAAAAUCUUAUGUUAUACAUAAUGAAAGUAUACAUUAACUCCAAGUGUUAGUGGAUCUAUUCUUUUGAUGUGAUACACAUUGUA
RNAcentral lists this long non-coding RNA (503 nucleotides) under Malus domestica (apple). RNAcentral describes it as "long non-coding RNA (MDOM_LNC012373)". Lineage: Eukaryota; Viridiplantae; Streptophyta; Magnoliopsida; Rosales; Rosaceae. The record is from RNAcentral.